UACGUAGGGACCGAGCGUUGUCCGGAAUCAUUGGGCGUACAGAGCGUGUAGGCGGCUAUUUAAGUCCUGCGUGAAAUCCUGCGGCUCAACCGCAGACGGUCGUGGGAAACUGGAUGGCUAGAGUGCGGGAGAGGAGAGUGGAAUUCCCGGUGUAGCGGUGAAAUGCGCAGAUAUCGGGAAGAACACCCGUGGCGAAGGCGGCUCUCUGGAACGCAACUGACGCUGAGACGCGAAAGCGUGGGGAGCAAACAGG
This 253-nucleotide ribosomal RNA is filed under the name uncultured bacterium. RNAcentral describes it as "partial 16S ribosomal RNA". It matches the Rfam family "Bacterial small subunit ribosomal RNA", at positions 524 to 776 of the family's 1533-position model. The record is from RNAcentral.